GGGAGCGGGGCCGACACAGGGUUCCUGACCAAGCUGGUGCUUCUGCGUGUGUUCCUGCAUGACUUGGUGUGUCCCCUUCUCUUGGAUCUACUGCAGUUGACAGCAGAUAACUGAAAGCUCGGAAAGCGAAACCGUGGAUAAGCAGGGGAACUGUGGCAUCCCAUUUAAAAUUGCUUCUGAAGAGAAGCAUGAGGUUACAUCUGUAAUCUCCCUGCAGCAGAGUCAACUGCAUAAGAAACCAAAAGACACACCUGCUCCAUGCCAGCUUCGAUAAUUUCUUUGUACCUUCGGCGAAAGAAGCCCAUCUGAAAGGCAGAAAGAAAGAGAAGCUGAGUUAGAAGUGCUGAAGAAUCAGCCAUUGUGACCCCAAGGCAGUCUGUCCCUGGGUAGGUGUGACCUGCACUCACAGGGCUGGGGAGGCUUGGAGGACCCCUCGGAUUAGAGAAAACACUGGCAAGAAAAA
Molecule: long non-coding RNA, 463 nt
Filed under: Homo sapiens (human)
Lineage: Eukaryota; Metazoa; Chordata; Mammalia; Primates; Hominidae
Description: non-protein coding ITGA9-AS1:17
Source: RNAcentral